CUACGGGCGCAGCAGUGGGGAAUAUUGGACAAUGGGGGAAACCCUGAUGCAGCAACGCCGCGUGGAGGAUGACGCAUUUCGGUGUGUAAACUCCUUUUAUAUGUCAAGAAAAUGACGGUAGCAUAUGAAUAAGCACCGGCUAACUCCGUGCCAGCAGCCGCGGUGAAUACGGAGGGUGCAAGCGUUACUCGGAAUCACUGGGCGUAAAGGACGCGUAGGCGGGUUGGAAAGUCAGGUGUGAAAUCCUACAGCUUAACUGUAGAACUGCACUUGAAACUUCUAAUCUAGAGUAUGGGUGGGGGAGAUGGAAUUAGUGGUGUAGGGGUAAAAUCCGUAGAUAUCACUAGGAAUACCUAAAGCGAAGGCGAUCUCCUGGAACAUUACUGACGCUAAGGCGUGAAAGCGUGGGGAGCAAACAGGAUUAGAUACCCGUGUAGUC
This 439-nucleotide ribosomal RNA is filed under the name uncultured bacterium. RNAcentral's name for it is "partial 16S ribosomal RNA". It matches the Rfam family "Bacterial small subunit ribosomal RNA", at positions 339 to 795 of the family's 1533-position model. The record is from RNAcentral.